UGAGUUUGACUUUGAGUCAAUACCGUCAGUAAUUACAACGGAGGGAACGCCAACAUUUGAACACGUUAGAUAUACAUUAGCAUAGAUUAGCAUUGUUGCAGAUUAAACAAGGUCACCGAGAGCCUUGACUUUUAGUAAAAAAAAAAUUAAAUUAAACCAUAAAAUUUCUCCACAACUGUAAGAUAGAUUUUCAAAAGGAAAAUUCAAUUUUACGACCCAGUAUUUAACAUUGGAUACUGCCAAUCGAAUCAAAGCGUUCGUAUUUACGUGCUAUGUCUAAAUAAAGAAAAAUCCACGUAUUAACGGUCCACAGUUAAAACGAGAAGUUAUUUGCCGCCAGUUGUCAAAGGAUACCAAAAAGAAUGGCUCAAUUUUAAAGAAAGAAUUUGAUAUUACAAUACCUACAUAGAUAACAAAUUUUAUUGGACUGAUUUUAAAAUAGUUAAAUGUUUAAAAAAAAACUAAUUUAGUUACUAUCUUAUGUAAUUAUUGGUAGUUUGCGCACAUGUGUUCUUACCAAUAUAUUGCCUCAAAACAGUCAAGUGUUCCAGUUUAAAGGAAUUAAACUAAAAUUUGACAUAAUAGAGAUGAGGAGGAUAAAGACAGCAAACAGAAGAUUUUAAUCAUAUCAUAUUAUUGAUAGGUCAAUCUCAGUCAAAUUUAUUAAAUACAUGAUUAGAUUUUCAUUCUCAGAUUCCGUUAAGUACUUUAAGGUACAAUAUAUACUUAUUGUCAGAAUUCACACACUCAUAUUUGGUUUAUAUCGUACUAUCUUCUGAAUUAUAAAUUUAGCAAGCUGUUGUUUAUACGCAGCACUUAGUAAAAGACUAUAGCCGAGACUGUUUUUAAGCAACACAUAAUAAUUAGAAUAUCUGUCCUCGUUACUGUAAAAUGGUGAUUUUAUGAAACUUCCAAAAAGUACUCCAACACUGUAUUACUUUUUUUUAUAAUAAAUAAACAUCAUAUUUUAUUAUAUGCCUUACCA
Long non-coding RNA from Bombyx mori (domestic silkworm), 985 nucleotides. RefSeq lists it as uncharacterized. The record is from RefSeq and is a predicted model, not a curated record. The transcript is spliced from 2 exons. Lineage: Eukaryota; Metazoa; Arthropoda; Insecta; Lepidoptera; Bombycidae.